CACAGAGGGGAGAUGGGGUGCUGUGCUCCUGGUGGCAGGGGACACCCGCGGGUGUCAGUCCCGGAUNCUCUGCCAGGGCUGUCGGCAGGUGUCACAUCCACGGGGAGACACCGUGUGGGCAUCCCGGGUAGGGAGGCUGGUGCCUGCCGAAACUGGGCAGUGCUGGGGCAGAAGGGGGCAUCCAACCAACCGGAUGCCCACUAGCCGGGGGGUGGAGAGCAGAGGGAAUGCAAAACCCUCUCCCUGCAGAGCUGGUGUCAGAGGCUGGUGGGCAUGUGAGCAUGGUGGCACUAGCAGCACCGUGGGGCCAUCCCAGCUCUGCCCCCCUCAAUAGGCAGAGGGUUCCAGCCGCUGCAGGAGGGCUCUGCUCUCCCUGCAGUGCCACAGAGCCCCAGCUCCCCGUGCAAGCCUCCCCCUGCACCCACGCUGUCCUCGCAGAGGAGGAAUAAUUUGGAGAAACCAUGGCAACCCCACAGCUCCACCGGCAGUGGGUGCCGCUGGUGGGUGGAAGACACCGGAGCCUGUGGGAUGCAGCGCCCACAUCCCCAGCGCACAGGGAUGCACACACGCUGGGGGACAGUUCUUUGGGUGGCAGUUCCUUUUGGUCCAGCAGGGCUGUGGCUGCAGAGGUCUCUUGAGGGUGCUCCAUGCACUCACAAGGCGUCCAUGGCCCCAGCAGCCACACUUCCACCACACUGGCAGUGCCCAAGGAGCCUCAUGUGCCUUGUUUGUUUUACAGUGCUGGGAUGGAGUCACCACAGGCCCCUCGGCCACCUCAGCCCACCCAGCCCCUCACUGCUGCUGCUGCUGGACCAGGGUGGGCUACCGUCCUCUGAGGCCGUGUGACAGGGAACUAGCAGAAGAGUCGCUUUUAAGAUGACACGAACAGACCCACCUGACAUUCUGGUGUCCACGGUGUACCAAGACAUCAAGGUGGCGACAGCAGCCCCUGGGGAUUCCGUUGUCUGUCAGCCCCUAGCACAAUGUGAUGCCUCCAUGUCCUCCUCCCUGUCCCGCGAGCCGCAGCCCUUCAACAAGCGCCAUUGUAGGAGUUUCGACUUCAUCGAGUCGCUGGAAGAGCUGGGCACCCCCUCGGCCAUGGAGCGCGCCUGCCCNCAGCUGUGGGAGUGACCAGGCUGCUCUGUGGCAUGCGCUGAGGGGAGCUGGAGGCAGACUCAGCGCCCAGCCCAGGGCACUGGUGUCAGGGCAC
Molecule: long non-coding RNA, 1210 nt
Filed under: Zonotrichia albicollis (white-throated sparrow)
Lineage: Eukaryota; Metazoa; Chordata; Aves; Passeriformes; Passerellidae
Description: lncRNA (ENSZALG00000010946.1)
Source: RNAcentral